Molecule: ribosomal RNA, 496 nt
Filed under: bacterium enrichment culture clone ALO1_GLFRUDD03GV7M7
Lineage: Bacteria
Description: bacterial SSU rRNA
Rfam family: Bacterial small subunit ribosomal RNA
Source: RNAcentral
GAGUUUGAUCUUGGCUCAGAUUGAACGCUGGCGGCAUGCCUUACACAUGCAAGUCGAACGGCAGCACGGGAGCUUGCUCCUGGUGGCGAGUGGCGAACGGGUGAGUAAUGCAUCGGAACGUAUCCUGGAGUGGGGGAUAACGUAGCGAAAGUUACGCUAAUACCGCAUAUUCUGUGAGCAGGAAAGCGGGGGACCUUCGGGCCUCGCGCUCUUGGAGCGGCCGAUGUCGGAUUAGCUAGUUGGUGAGGUAAAGGCUCACCAAGGCGACGAUCCGUAGCAGGUCUGAGAGGAUGAUCUGCCACACUGGAACUGAGACACGGUCCAGACUCCUACGGGAGGCAGCAGUGGGGAAUUUGGGCAAUGGACGCAAGUCUGACCCAGCAACGCCGCGUGAAGGAAGAAGGCUUUCGGGUUGUAAACUUCUUUGACAGGGAAGAGUAGAAGACGGUACCCUGAAACAAGCCACGGCUAACUACGUGCCAGCCGCCGCGGUAAC